AGUAUGUACUGACAUGUUGUCCAUCCAAUCACAGAAUUAGGAUCAGAGAACGAACCGAGUGAGUUGUAUUGGGAUUGUGCCACAGAGCAUUAUGGAGGUUCUAUGUGUUGGGAGGCUUGGUGACAUUGUUGAAUAGAGAUUAUGAGUGAAGAGUGAUAGUUCAGCAUUUUUUGGAUAUUAUUCAAUUCAAAUGACUUUUUUCAAAUUACAGGAGACGGAGGAGGUAUAUUAUAAAUUGUUUUCUUGGUUUUAGAACUUUAUUUUUGCGUUCAGUUAGUGCAAUUUACUUACAUUUGCUUUACAAAACUUCAGUAGCUAGCUUACUACCAGCACGAGUGUGCAGUUUUCUCCGGCAGAAUGGUAGAAUGGCCUUUCUGUGUAGGAACUCCUUUCAUUCUCUGGGGUACAGGGAAAAGUUGUGAAUUAAAAGCAAGGGUCGACCUCUGCCUGAGAACAGUUUCAUGAAGGCAGAUGAAAAAGGUGGGGGCGUUCAAUACUAACUUGAACCAAAAGUAUAUCUGGUUAACAGGGAGCCUUUCAUCAGGCCGCCUGUAUUGCUGGCCUUAUCUGCUUUUUGGAAAGUCUGGGCUUUGGUCGAAAGGUAGGUUCAGUGACCUGAAGAACAUUGAUCGUUCAGCUAAACAAAAAAACAAAAGCAGGGCAUGUAAGAAUUUGCUUUUAGGAAGACACGACGAGAGGGAAAGUUACGCCAACAAGGGCAGCUACAGAGCUUGAAGAGGUAACUGAACGUUAUGAAGCUUUCCUUGCUGAACAUAUGGAACUUGACUGUUUUUUCUGGGAUGUUGAAAACAAUUCCAAAUGAUUUGAUAGCUUCCAUCGCAUCAUCCAUUAAAAGUUAUAUUAAAGAAAGGUUGACGCAGCGCAGUUUUUCACAAGCACUCAGCUAAGUCCCCUCCUGUUCCCUGAUUAAGAGGUGAUGACUACUCCACUCCACUCCACUCCACUACCAUUGUCAACUUUCUCCUGGCAUGAACUGAAACCACGUCUCAUGUGCCCGCUCAUCCACUGGCACAUUGAAUGUUUCCCCUCAAAGCACUAUUGUCUUCCCAGUCAAAUCCUGUCCUGCACUGGUCAAGCCUCUGAACACCUCAAUUUAUGCCUCAUACCCUCAUUCAGUCACUGCUGUGAUCCCUUUCCAACACUGUGUAGUACACAGAGAUGAUGAUGAUCCCCAGAGGGAGGGGAGGGAGGUUGUUGAGGAAGAACCAGUGGCCCAGCUCAAGAAGGAGCCCAAGAAGACAGGAAAGGCAAUGGCAAGUGAUCUAUAAAGGAUUUUAAAAACCUAUGACAAAAGAACAGCUUGCAAAAUUGUGCAAGACCAUUGUCAACUUCAUUGCACAGACCACCCUGCAGAUCCUGCUGCCGGCCCUGGCCCGCAUUCUAGGGGUGACAGGCUUUUAUGACAACGCUGACUCACUCAAGAGGGGCUGCAGUGCAAGAUCCUUCACUGCCUUUGAGCAGAAAAGACUGGAGCUCAUCCAGGAAGUUAAAUAUUUGGCGAAUGAGAUGUGUAACUGUGGCGGCAGGGCUCUCUGACCAAGGUCUAGCACACCCUCUUCCAAGAGGUACUGUAUGUUCCCCAUAAUGUGUGCGUGUGUGUGUGCAGCUAAUCCUAACCCUCAAACUGAUGAACAAUAAUUUCUCCAUUUAAAUAUUUUCAAGCUUUCUAAAAGGUGUGUUUUGCAAUAUCUAAUGCACACAUAAAAAUUACAUUUAGAAUACUCAAUUAUAAUGCUUGUUAGAUUUGUUAGCAGUAAGAUAUCGAUUUUCCAACUUCAGACAGCAAUUAACAUACUUUGCUUGUUCAUUUUAAAGUUCCCAGACCUCACUGAAAGUCCACCUGGGAAUGCCAGAGGACAGUAUCAUCAACAGUGUCCAGGAGCAACUCUCUGACCAUGAGAUUUUGGCCUCUUGCCCACCUGAGCUGACCGUUGGUCUUAUCAAGGAGGUGCUUGAACAGCUCAACUUGGCCCUCUCUUUGACCAGCAGUAGAACCAUUUCAGGGUGGUCGUCCCUCAUUGCCUCUGGUACUCAGGCCACUGAACAGAUGAUUAACAUGGUCCAGAAGUUUCCUAUGAUCACACUGCUCCAGAAGACCAGUUAGAUGUUGAUUCCUACAUUCCAUUCUCAACAGAAGAGGUGAUCACUGUUAUUGCAGACAUGGUGGAUGAAAUGAAAGGAGAAGAUGCAGACUCGGUUAAGCUGCUUCAAGAAGUGGCUGUGAAAGUUAAAAUGUUGGCAUCUGGCAGUGACCUUGCAGUGGAGCAACUGGACGAUGAAGACUCUUCUUUCCCAAAGGAGCUGAACUCGUGUAUAUCUUGCAAGGCAUUGGUGAAAAACCUUGACAUUCUGUCAAGUGACAAGUUCAAGACAAAAGCCUCAAAGGCUGUGAGUGAGAUUCUAGUCAGAUGGUUCCCCAGGGGAACCUCUGGUUUGGUUGAACAUUCCCAUUCAUUUACUGCCACUCCCAGCUUGAUGAAUGCGUCUCACCCUGACACAAUCCAUCAUUCCGUGGCCACUGGGCUCAUACAGACCAAUAUGGAUUCGGAGGCACCAAAUAUAAUUGAUAGCUUUGUUGAAGAUGUCAAAGGCAUUGUGAAGCAAGCUGAAUUAGAUAAGCCAACAAGCACCCAGAGAGAUCCGCAAGUGGGACACUGUAUGCCAAAGCAGAAACCCUUUCACACGUCUCGUAGACUCUGCAACAGGCUCCAGGCAAAGAUAAAAUAAUUAUUUCACAGAACGGGUGGAGCUGCAUUCCAAAGGGAACAACUUCUGGAGCACACUGACUCCAGUGUUUUGCCUGGUUCAACCCUGAACUCAUCUUCAGCAAGUAGGAGUGAAUCACCCAUAGCAGAAUGCAGUUCAUCUGCUGUUCCUAGUGGACGUGAUUAAUCUGGCUCUGUAGAAGAGAAACCAUUUGAGACCAGAGCAGAUUGUACUCAUGGUCAGAACUCUCCUCUACUCAGUAAGAGUGAGGCCAUACUGCAAGAGGUCAACACAACUGGACGUGGUGCUCUCCGCAAAUGCCAGAGUGAGAACUCCCAACCUUUACUGGUUCUCUGUGAUCCAAACCUGGAGCCCUGCACCAAAGAGGUCUUAUCUCAGAUUGUGACUGUGUAUAGGUCCGAGAUGGCAGAUUUGGAAUCAACGUCCAGUGUUGUAGAGAAUUCCUCUUACAACUCCUUUGAAGUCUGUGACUUUUUGGAUGGUAUCAUGUCUUACCUAGAAGACCUGCCCGUGUCCAGUUCCUCAUCAUUGGAAGGAGUAAGUGUUACUCCAGCCUCAGUCAUUGAGCAGCUUUCGAGUGAAGUGUUUCAGAAGAAGGCAACCAACAAAGUCAGAAAAAUACUGAUCAAAUCUGUCAAUCUCUUCCCCAGCGAAGUCGGUUCAAGCCAGACAGAUUCUCAUAUGUCGCCAGCAUUAUCCACCAUUUCCUCAAAGCAUACAGAUUCAGUUGCUAUUGAAAUUAUUGGAUCAAUUGCAAAUGAUCUGAAGAGCAUUUUCCUGCUCACAGAGUCUCCUACUACUCUAUGGCAGGCAGACUCUAUGCUUCAACUGAGUGAUGAGAAACCCUCAGAAGCCACGAAUGCUGCAGCUGUAAGCCCCCAGACUGGUGUGGAAGUAUCUGAGAAGAAAAUCUGGAUAACUGCAAAGACUAUUUACCACAAUGUGAAGGCAAAGAUGAGGAAUUAUUUCUCAUUGCAAAGACAAGCCAAAGCAACGAAGGCUCAAGCCAAAAGACCCUCAGCCAUAUUCUGGUUUCCAUUCAGAAAGAACUGUCAAAAUCUGACCAAAUGGUGGCUGCAGGACAGCUUUCACAAAUAGAUAAAGUGGUUGGAACUAUGCUGGAGAACAUUGAGAAGAUAAGCAGCGAAUGUGGCGAGGAAUUGGUCUAUCAAGAGUCACUGGGGUCUUCCUCCUCGUUGUCAUUCUCAACUGCCAAAUCACAGAAGACAGAGUGGGAAUUUGCACUCCCUGGCACUCCAAUUCCUUCUGAGUUACCUGAGAGUCCUGCUCAGCCCAUUGUAAGAUGCUCAGUCAUUGACAUGAGCGAAUCUACUAAGCCAAAAACAAUGGUGUGUGAUGCAAGAACAAGAAUGUUUGCCAUAGCCGAUACAAUCAUGAAGAAGGAAUAUCCAGAGGCAGAAGGGCAGGUUACAUCUCACUCUGAUCUAACAGAUGCAAUAGCUAGACUGGAGGAGCUCAUAUCUCAGGGUAGGAUUGGUGCUCUCUCCCGUGAUCUCAGUCACCAAGUCAACCGCAUAAUUUCUGAUAGCAACUUGACCCCUCUGGGACUGACAGUGGCGGCUGGAAAGAGUGCAUCUGAUACCAUCCUUUCGAAGCUGAAGAGGAAUGACAAGGUGGGGAAGCCCAUAACUUACGAGCUGGUUCAGCUGUUUGUAGAGGAGUCUGUUAAGUGCCUCCUGCUUCCUAGUUUUGUGCCCUAUUCAACUUCAAUGACUUUGGUUCAGGGGGCCUAGGUGUUGGCUAGAGUGUCUGAAGAUAGAAUUUCAUGCUCUUCUUCUUCAUCAAUAUUUAGUGACACAGUCAGUCUCUUUACCAAAGUUAUGGUAAGCCAGGUCAUGUACUCUGUGGAUUCUGAUGCAGAAAGUAGAGGAUCCUCUCCAACUGAAUCUCUCCAAACAUCUGAAACCACUAUAUCUGAGGUAGGCAAUCUAUUGAGUGGCAAGUCCUCCCCUCGGCUGUCUCCUUCUGGCGUCAUUAUGGCAACAAGCGAGACCUCCAAUUCAGCACAAAUCUUAAAGGCCAACAUUGAUGGAGAGGAAGUGGAUACCACCAGUCAUUCUGGUGUAGCUCAAAACAUUGUCAGGGACGAUAUGUCAACCAGCCCAGACAUGGUCAAAGAUGUCCCACUUCCAACCCCAUCCUCUGAUAACUUGGGCAGUGAUGAUGACUUCACCGGCCUCAUCAGCAUGUUAGUAAUGAGAAUUCUAACAAAAAUCGAAUCCCUAUCCAGCCUAUCCAGAGAACUUGAGGAUUCAUAAAGUCUACAGAGCCGUCUAUAAAAAUAUGUUGGGGGAGUUUGACUCUGAGAAAAUCCUCCAACAGGCCGUGUCGACUCAGGACUCUUCAUUUGAUAGGAUUCUUGUCAAGUCUUUGAGUGAAGCGCUUCUCCACAGAUGUAAUGAGGCAUUGAGGGCAGCCUCAAGAACAUCAGUCAAAACCACCGGGCCUAAGGCUCUUCCACUGGCUGAGGAUGUGAGGGCUAGCAGCGGGAAAUGAUCUUUUCUACAAAGGCUGGUCAGGCUGACAGGCAACUUAAAGGUACAGCAAACGUAUUUAAAUGAACAGUUGUGGGAGAUAAUGUGAGUAAACAAUGCUAUUCAGUGUAAAAAAUAUAAAACCAUCCAUUCAUUCCAAAACCAAUCAUAAAUGUUGUUGUGCUGGUGUGGUAGGUGUGAUUGUUAUCAUCAUGAGGUUGUUCAGCUGUGACAUUUCUUUAAACAUGUUUUUCUCUUUAAAUACUUAGCUAUUCAAGAAGAGGAACAAGAAGGAUUCCCACCGCUCUGAGUCAGAACAAGUACAGACCACUGCUGAAGAUGGCAUGCUGCCCAGCAUAGUGCCACAUGCUGCCAUGUCUGCACUGCCAAAGGAUCUCCCCGCCAGCUCCCAACAGGAGACGCCUCACAAACGUCCACUUCUCGUCAGGAUGUUUUCUGCCAUCUCCAAAGGCCUGUUCAAGCCCUUCAAACAGUCCUUAAAGACCAAGUAACUUAAGACAAUUUAUUAAACGUCAUUCAUUGC
Molecule: long non-coding RNA, 5787 nt
Organism: Oncorhynchus nerka (sockeye salmon)
Lineage: Eukaryota; Metazoa; Chordata; Actinopteri; Salmoniformes; Salmonidae
Exons: 7
Source: RefSeq, a predicted model, not a curated record